AUUUUAUCGCCGAAAGAUCGGCCCGCGUCUGAUUAGCUAGUUGGUGAGGUAAUGGCUCACCAAGGCGACGAUCAGUAGCUGGUCUGAGAGGAUGAUCAGCCACAUUGGGACUGAGACACGGCCCAAACUCCUACGGGAGGCAGCAGUGGGGAAUGUUGGACAAUGGGCGCAAGCCUGAUCCAGCCAUGCCGCGUGAGUGAUGAAGGCCCUAGGGUUGUAAAGCUCUUUUGUGCGGGAAGAUAAUGACGGUACCGCAAGAAUAAGCCCCGGCUAACUUCGUG
This 281-nucleotide ribosomal RNA is filed under the name uncultured bacterium. RNAcentral's name for it is "partial 16S ribosomal RNA". It matches the Rfam family "Bacterial small subunit ribosomal RNA", at positions 209 to 507 of the family's 1533-position model. The record is from RNAcentral.